CAAAAGCAUAUGCUAAUGAUGUUGCAGUUAAAAGGCUCGUAGUCAAAUUUGUGAACUCUCUCUUCAGAGCAUCCGUCUAGCACGAAAUGUCUCUGCAUGACAUUGUUCAUCAAGGUGGGUAGAUCCUUCUGCUCUUGAUUGAGCGGGAGAGAUUGAUACAUCAAUUUACUGUGAAUAAAUCAAAGCGUUCAAGACAAGCACGUUGCCGUGAAUGCUCAAGCAUGGAAUAAGAAGCCAGUACUUGUGCUUUACUGUAGGCUGCAAAGCAGGAGUAAUGAUUGAUAGAAUUAGUUGGGGGUGCUAGUACUUAGCGGUAAGCGGUGAAAUGCAUAGACCCGCUGAAGACUUUCAAAUGCGAAAGCAUUCACCAAGGAUAUAUUCUUUGA
This 386-nucleotide ribosomal RNA is filed under the name uncultured eukaryote. RNAcentral describes it as "partial 18S ribosomal RNA". It matches the Rfam family "Eukaryotic small subunit ribosomal RNA", at positions 592 to 976 of the family's 1831-position model. The record is from RNAcentral.